AACGAACGCUGGCGGCAGGCUUAACACAUGCAAGUCGAACGCGUGUAGCAAUACACGAGUGGCGCACGGGUGAGUAACGCGUGGAUAUCUGCCUUUUGGUUCGGAAUAACUCCGGGAAACUGGAGCUAAUACCGGAUGGUUCCUUCGGGAUAAAGAUUUAUCGCCAAAAGAUGAGUCCGCAUACGAUUAGCUAGUUGGUGAGGUAAUGGCUCACCAAGGCGACGAUCGUUAGCUGGUCUGAGAGGACGAUCAGCCACACUGGGACUGAGACACGGCCCAGACUCCUACGGGAGGCAGCAGUGGGGAAUAUUGGACAAUGGGGGCAACCCUGAUCCAGCCAUGCCGCGUGAGUGAUGAAGGCCUUCGGGUUGUAAAGCUCUUUUGGCGGGGACGAUGAUGACGGUACCCGGAGAAGAAGCCCCGGCUAACUUCGUGCCAGCCGCCGCCGUAA
Molecule: ribosomal RNA, 451 nt
Filed under: uncultured bacterium
Lineage: Bacteria
Description: partial 16S ribosomal RNA
Rfam family: Bacterial small subunit ribosomal RNA
Source: RNAcentral